This is a small nucleolar RNA of 107 nucleotides. It matches the Rfam family "Plant small nucleolar RNA R71". From Rfam's summary of the family: R71 is a member of the C/D box family of snoRNAs containing the C (UGAUGA) and D (CUGA) box motifs. Multiple nearly identical copies of this snoRNA have been identified in Arabidopsis, and it is thought to function as a 2'-O-ribose methylation guide for 18S ribosomal RNA. The record is from Rfam.
AUACCAUGAUGAGGACAUCUCCUGAGUAACUCCUUAAAUCUCUCUCAUGCAGCACACAAGCUCUCAUCUUCAAGUUAAUGGAAAGAUGUGAUCUCGUUCCUCAACUU